GAUGAACGCUGGCGGCGUGCCUAAUACAUGCAAGUCGAGCGAACAGACGAGGAGCUUGCUCCUCUGACGUUAGCGGCGGACGGGUGAGUAACACGUGGAUAACCUACCUAUAAGACUGGGAUAACUUCGGGAAACCGGAGCUAAUACCGGAUAAUAUAUUGAACCGCAUGGUUCAAUAGUGAAAGACGGUUUUGCUGUCACUUAUAGAUGGAUCCGCGCCGCAUUAGCUAGUUGGUAAGGUAACGGCUUACCAAGGCAACGAUGCGUAGCCGACCUGAGAGGGUGAUCGGCCACACUGGAACUGAGACACGGUCCAGACUCCUACGGGAGGCAGCAGUAGGGAAUCUUCCGCAAUGGGCGAAAGCCUGACGGAGCAACGCCGCGUGAAUGAUGAAGGUCUUCGGAUCGUAAAACUCUGUUAUUAGGGAAGAACAAAUGUGUAAGUAACUAUGCACGUCUUGACGGUACCUAAUCAGAAAGCCACGGCUAACCACGUG
RNAcentral lists this ribosomal RNA (497 nucleotides) under uncultured bacterium. RNAcentral describes it as "partial 16S ribosomal RNA". It matches the Rfam family "Bacterial small subunit ribosomal RNA", at positions 28 to 507 of the family's 1533-position model. The record is from RNAcentral.